This 111-nucleotide ribosomal RNA is filed under the name Pteropus alecto (black flying fox). Lineage: Eukaryota; Metazoa; Chordata; Mammalia; Chiroptera; Pteropodidae. The record is from RNAcentral.
AUUUUGAGUCAUGCUACCCUGAACAAGCCCGAUCCCAUCUGAUCUAAGCAGGGUCGGGCUUGGUUAGUACUUGGAUAGGAGACCACCUAGGAAGACUGGGUGCUGUAGGUG